RNAcentral lists this unclassified non-coding RNA (336 nucleotides) under soil metagenome. RNAcentral's name for it is "partial contains 5.8S ribosomal RNA, internal transcribed spacer 2, and large subunit ribosomal RNA". The stretch from base 1 to 120 matches the Rfam family "5.8S ribosomal RNA", at positions 35 to 154 of the family's 154-position model. The record is from RNAcentral.
GAUGAAGAACGUAGCGAAAUGCGAUAAGUAAUGUGAAUUGCAGAAUUCAGUGAAUCAUCGAAUCUUUGAACGCACAUUGCGCCCGCCAGUAUUCUGGCGGGCAUGCCUGUUCGAGCGUCAUUUCAACCAUCAAGCCCCAGGCUUGUGUUGGGGACCUGCGGCUGCCGCAGGCCCUGAAAACCAGUGGCGGGCUCGCUGUCACACCGGGCGUAGUAGAUUUUAUCUCGCUCAGGGCGUGCUGCGGGUUCCGGCCGUUAAAAAGCCUUUUUUACCCAAGGUUGACCUCGGAUCAGGUAGGAAGACCCGCUGAACUUAAGCAUAUCAAAAAGCGGAGGA